Pseudomonas sp. EGD-AK9 is the source of this 119-nucleotide non-coding RNA. NCBI's taxonomy places the organism in Bacteria, Pseudomonadati, Pseudomonadota, Gammaproteobacteria, Pseudomonadales, Pseudomonadaceae. The record is from Rfam.
ACGGAUUCAGCGCAGGAAGCGCACAAACGAACAGGGACACACUGGACAGCCGCCAGGACGGUGAGCAGAUCAAGGAUGUCAGGACUACAGUCUGCAAGGCCCCGCAAACGCGGGGUUUU